AUUGAACGCUAGCGGGAUGCUUUACACAUGCAAGUCGAACGGCAGCGCGGACUUCGGUCUGGCGGCGAGUGGCGAACGGGUGAGUAAUGUAUCGGAACGUGCCCAGUAGCGGGGGAUAACUACGCGAAAGCGUAGCUAAUACCGCAUACGCCCUACGGGGGAAAGCAGGGGAUCGUAAGACCUUGCACUAUUGGAGCGGCCGAUAUCGGAUUAGCUAGUUGGUGAGGUAACGGCUCACCAAGGCGAGGAUCCGUAGCUGGUUUGAGAGGACGACCAGCCACACUGGGCCUGAGACACGGCCCAGCCUCCUACGGGAGGCGGCGGUGGGGAAUUUUGACAAAUGGGGGCAACCCUGAUCCAGCCAUCCCGCGUGUGCGAUGAAGGCCUUCGGGUUGUAAAGCACUUUUGGCGGGAAAGAAACGUCGCGGGCUAAUACCCCGUGGAACUGACGGUACCUGCAGAAUAGCACCGGCUAACUACGUG
This 483-nucleotide ribosomal RNA is filed under the name uncultured bacterium. RNAcentral's name for it is "partial 16S ribosomal RNA". It matches the Rfam family "Bacterial small subunit ribosomal RNA", at positions 30 to 507 of the family's 1533-position model. The record is from RNAcentral.